CAGCCGCCGCGGUAAUACCGGCGGCCCGAGUGGCGGUCACUAUUAUUGGGCUUAAAGCGUCCGUAGCCGGGUUGGGAAGUCCUCCGGGAAAUCUGGCCGCUUAACGGUCAGAAUGCCGGAGGAUACUCCCAGCCUAGGGAGCGGGAGAGGCCGAGGGGCUUCCCGGAGUAGGGGGGAAAUCCUAUAAUCCCGGGAGGACCACCUGUGGCGAAGGCGCUCGGCUGGAACGCGUCCGACGGUGAGGGACGAAGGCCAGGGGAGCAAACCGGAUUAGAUACCCGGGUAGUCCUGGCUGUAAAGGAUGCGGGCUAGGUGUCGGGUGAGCUUCGGGCUCGCCCGGUGCCGUAGGGAAGCCGUUAAGCCCGCCGCCUGGGGAGUACGGCCGCAAGGCUGAAACUUAAAGGAAUUGGCGGG
This 414-nucleotide ribosomal RNA is filed under the name uncultured microorganism. Its description in RNAcentral is "bacterial SSU rRNA". It matches the Rfam family "Archaeal small subunit ribosomal RNA", at positions 459 to 872 of the family's 1478-position model. The record is from RNAcentral.